CAAGCAUUUUCAACCGCAACAUGGAGCGGGAGUAGACCCUCUAUGACUUUAUUACCGACUGUGCGCACAUUGGCUGAUGCACCGUGGCAAAACAGCAAUUUGAUCAUGCCAACAGAGAACCUUUCAGCAGCUUCAUGGAGGGGGAAGUAUCCAUAUUGGUUGAUGCAGUUGGGAUUAGCAUGCAUCCCAUUGAGUUCAGGAGCCUUGCCCUCCAAUACAACUUUCGCAGAUUGUAAGGCGCUAUGAUUGGCCAUGUAGGUCAAGGUUUCCGCGGUGAUGGUCAGAUUCCAAUGCAUGCACGCCACACUCUCAAAAAGGCGUAGGAAGUGUCGGACACUGUCCUUCUCCAAGGUGCAACCUCCAAGCGGGGAGCUAUCUCAUUGA
This 384-nucleotide ribosomal RNA is filed under the name Triticum aestivum (bread wheat). RNAcentral describes it as "partial small subunit ribosomal RNA". The record is from RNAcentral. Lineage: Eukaryota; Viridiplantae; Streptophyta; Magnoliopsida; Poales; Poaceae.